RNAcentral lists this ribosomal RNA (411 nucleotides) under uncultured bacterium. RNAcentral describes it as "bacterial SSU rRNA". It matches the Rfam family "Bacterial small subunit ribosomal RNA", at positions 355 to 777 of the family's 1533-position model. The record is from RNAcentral.
UAGGGAAUUUUCGGCAAUGGACGAAAGUCUGACCGAGCAACGCCGCGUGAACGAAGAAGUAUUUCGGUAUGUAAAGUUCUUUUAUUAGUGACGAAAAAACAAAUUGACGGUAGCUAAUGAAUAAGCCCCGGCUAACUACGUGCCAGCAGCCGCGGUAAUACGUAGGGGGCAAGCGUUAUCCGGAAUUAUUGGGCGUAAAGGGUGCGUAGGUGGCACUAUAAGUCUUUGGUGAAAAUGCGGGGCUCAACCCCGUAUGGCCAAGGAAACUGUAGAGCUAGAGUAUGGUAGAGGUGAGUGGAAUUCCAUGUGUAGCGGUAAAAUGCGUAAAUAUAUGGAGGAACACCAGUGGCGAAGGCGGCUCACUAGACCAAGACUGACACUGAGGCACGAAAGCGUGGGGAGCAAACAGGA